RNAcentral lists this ribosomal RNA (393 nucleotides) under uncultured bacterium. RNAcentral describes it as "partial 16S ribosomal RNA". It matches the Rfam family "Bacterial small subunit ribosomal RNA", at positions 523 to 918 of the family's 1533-position model. The record is from RNAcentral.
AUACGUAGGGGGCGAGCGUUAUCCGGAUUUAUUGGGUUUAAAGGGUGCGUAGGCUGUGCGUUAAGUCAGGGGUGAAAUGCCGUCGCUCAACGACGGAGCUGCCCUUGAUACUGGCGUGCUGGAGUACGGAUGCCGUUGGAGGAAUGAGUGGUGUAGCGGUGAAAUGCUUAGAUAUCACUCAGAACACCGAUUGCGAAGGCAUCUGACGAAUCCGUCACUGACGCUGAGGCACGAAAGCGUGGGGAUAGAACAGGAUUAGAUACCCUGGUAUUCCACGCCGUAAACGAUGAUGACUAACCGUCGGCGAUAGACAGCCGGUGGCCAAGCGAAAGCGAUAAGUCAUCCACCUGGGGAGUACGUCGGCAACGAUGAAACUCAAAGGAAUUGGCGGGG